GUGGGGAAUAUUGGACAAUGGGCGCAAGCCUGAUCCAGCCAUGCCGCGUGAGUGAUGAAGGCCUUAGGGUUGUAAAGCUCUUUCAGUGGGGACGAUAAUGACGGUACCCACAGAAGAAGCCCCGGCUAACUUCGUGCCAGCAGCCGCGGUAAUACGAAGGGGGCUAGCGUUGUUCGGAUUUACUGGGCGUAAAGCGCACGUAGGCGGAUCGUUAAGUCGGGGGUGAAAUCCUGGAGCCCAACUCCAGAACUGCCUUCGAUACUGGCGAUCUUGAGUCCGGAAGAGGUGAGUGGAACUCCUAGUGUAGAGGUGAAAUUCGUAGAUAUUCGGAAGAACACCAGUGGCGAAGGCGACUCACUGGCCCAAUACUGACGCUGAGGCGCGAAAGCGUGGGGAGCAAACAGGAUUAGAAACCCCGGUAGUCC
RNAcentral lists this ribosomal RNA (425 nucleotides) under uncultured bacterium. Its description in RNAcentral is "bacterial SSU rRNA". It matches the Rfam family "Bacterial small subunit ribosomal RNA", at positions 354 to 796 of the family's 1533-position model. The record is from RNAcentral.